Molecule: ribosomal RNA, 453 nt
Filed under: uncultured bacterium
Lineage: Bacteria
Description: bacterial SSU rRNA
Rfam family: Bacterial small subunit ribosomal RNA
Source: RNAcentral
GGCGUGCUUAAUACAUGCAAGUCGAACGGAGUUAAGGGGUUUCGGCCUUUAACUUAGUGGCGAACGGGUGAGUAACGCGUGAAUAACCUGACUCAAAGAGGGGGAUAACAACGGGAAACUGUUGCUAAUACCGCAUGAGACCACAACACCGCAUGAUGAAGGGGUCAAAGAUUUAUCGCUUUGAGAGGGGUUCGCGUCCCAUUAGGUAGUUGGAGGGGUAACGGCCCACCAAGCCAACGAUGGGUAGCCGAGCUGAGAGGCUGAUCGGCCACACUGGAACUGAGACACGGUCCAGACUCCUACGGGAGGCAGCAGUAGGGAAUAUUGGGCAAUGGGCGCAAGCCUGACCCAGCAACGCCGCGUGAGGGAAGAAGGUUUUCGGAUUGUAAACCUCUGUCCUAUGUGACGAAGGAAGUGACGGUAGCAUAGGAGGAAGCCCCGGCUAACUACGUG